GGCGGGGUAGCUCAGUUGGUUAGAGCGUUCGGUUCAUACCCGAGAGGUCGAGAGUUCAAAUCUCUCCCCCGCUACCA
Molecule: transfer RNA, 77 nt
Filed under: Mycoplasma putrefaciens
Lineage: Bacteria; Bacillati; Mycoplasmatota; Mollicutes; Mycoplasmatales; Mycoplasmataceae
Also listed under: 2 other names
Description: tRNA-Met
Rfam family: tRNA
About the family: Transfer RNA (tRNA) molecules are approximately 80 nucleotides in length. Their secondary structure includes four short double-helical elements and three loops (D, anti-codon, and T loops).
Source: RNAcentral